Molecule: ribosomal RNA, 405 nt
Filed under: uncultured bacterium
Lineage: Bacteria
Description: bacterial SSU rRNA
Rfam family: Bacterial small subunit ribosomal RNA
Source: RNAcentral
GGGGAAUAUUGCACAAUGGGCGCAAGCCUGAUGCAGCGACGCCGCGUGAGGGAUGACGGCCUUCGGGUUGUAAACCUCUUUCAGUGCCGACGAAGCGGAAGUGACGGUAGGUACAGAAGAAGCACCGGCCAACUACGUGCCAGCAGCCGCGGUAAUACGUAGGGUGCGAGCGUUGUCCGGAAUUACUGGGCGUAAAGAGCUCGUAGGCGGUUUGUCGCGUCGUCCGUGAAAACUCGCAGCUUAACUGUGGGCGUGCGGGCGAUACGGGCAGACUUGAGUACUGCAGGGGAGACUGGAAUUCCUGGUGUAGCGGUGAAAUGCGCAGAUAUCAGGAGGAACACCGGUGGCGAAGGCGGGUCUCUGGGCAGUAACUGACGCUGAGGAGCGAAAGCGUGGGGAGCGAAC